AGAACGAACGCUGGCGGCAGGCUUAACACAUGCAAGUCGAACGGUUGUAGCAAUACAGCAGUGGCAGACGGGUGAGUAACACGUGGGAACCUUCCUAGGGGUACGGAACAACUCAGGGAAACUUGAGCUAAUACCGUAUACGUCCGUGAGGAGAAAGAUUUAUCGCCCCUAGACGGGCCCGCGUAGGAUUAGGUAGUUGGUGAGGUAACGGCUCACCAAGCCUACGAUCCUUAGCUGAUCUGAGAGGAUGAUCAGCCACACUGGGACUGAGACACGGCCCAGACUCCUACGGGAGCAGCAGUGGGGAAUCUUGGACAAUGGGCGCAAGCCUGAUCCAGCCAUGCCGCGUGAGUGAAGAAGGCCUUCGGGUUGUAAGCUCUUUACCAGGGACGAUAAUGACGGUACCUGGAGAAUAAGCCCGGCAACUCGUGCCAGCAGCCGAC
This 443-nucleotide ribosomal RNA is filed under the name uncultured soil bacterium. RNAcentral's name for it is "bacterial SSU rRNA". It matches the Rfam family "Bacterial small subunit ribosomal RNA", at positions 26 to 518 of the family's 1533-position model. The record is from RNAcentral.